UACAUGUGGGGCAAGCGUUGUUCGGAAUUACUGGGCGUAAAGCGUGCGCAGGCGGUUUUGUAAGUCAGAUGUGAAAUCCCCGGGCUCAACCUGGGAACUGCAUUUGUGACUGCAUAGCUAGAGUACGGUAGAGGGGGAUGGAAUUCCGCGUGUAGCAGUGAAAUGCGUAGAUAUGCGGAGGAACACCGAUGGCGAAGGCAAUCCCCUGGACCUGUACUGACGCUCAUGCACGAAAGCGUGGGGAGCAAACAGG
RNAcentral lists this ribosomal RNA (253 nucleotides) under uncultured bacterium. RNAcentral describes it as "partial 16S ribosomal RNA". It matches the Rfam family "Bacterial small subunit ribosomal RNA", at positions 524 to 776 of the family's 1533-position model. The record is from RNAcentral.